This 537-nucleotide ribosomal RNA is filed under the name Triticum aestivum (bread wheat). RNAcentral's name for it is "partial small subunit ribosomal RNA". The record is from RNAcentral. Lineage: Eukaryota; Viridiplantae; Streptophyta; Magnoliopsida; Poales; Poaceae.
AUGCGUUUGAUUGAAUGGCCUGUUCCAUUGCCUUGCGAUCUGGUGUUGCGGUUUGGCAUGGGAGUCGACAAUAUCUACGCACGGCCGUUCCGUGAUGUCACUAUAAGCAAUGGCGUGAUCAGGUUCGUCGAGCUGAAAUCUUGUCGGUGUAGCGAUACCCGUAAUGAGAAAGGGGUCAUUGGCCAAGGCUGGACGGUCACCACAUGGAACAGGGAGAUCUCCUCAAAUAAGUGGCAAAAGAGGUUCACUGUCAAGGCUGAUGACGUGCCUGUCACAGGUUCAAGUUACCCUAAGGUAUCGGGUGACAAGAGGUUGAGCUGGGACAAAAUGGUUCAUGGUGGGCCCACUCUAAGCUUGUAUGACGACGAUGUUGUCUACAUCAUGGCUAGACUAGACAUCCGCCACCCAGUUGCAUGGAUGCUUGCCAUUAACAUUAAAGAGAGAACACUGGAAGCGGUCAAGCAGUGUUCUGCUGAAAAGAUGCUUGAUCUUGAACCGACUUAUGUUCAGUGUGCCUUAUCCAACUACCUCAUGUAG